This 69-nucleotide transfer RNA is filed under the name Schindleria praematura (Schindler's fish). RNAcentral describes it as "tRNA-Ala". It matches the Rfam family "tRNA". From Rfam's summary of the family: Transfer RNA (tRNA) molecules are approximately 80 nucleotides in length. The record is from RNAcentral. Lineage: Eukaryota; Metazoa; Chordata; Actinopteri; Gobiiformes; Schindleriidae.
AAGGCUUUAGCUUAAUUAAAGUAUCUGAUUUGCAUUCAGAAGAUGAGGGUUAGUGUCCCGCAAGUCUUA